CUGUUUCUUUUGCGGCCUUCUUUUAUGUACAAAUCGGUUUUUUUUUUUUCUUGCAAAUAUGUGGGAAACUAGGUUUUUGGAGGUAAUGAGCCAUUGGAGGUUGAAUUUUAGAAAAUGGUGUAUGUAUAGUUUUACUUGUUUGGAGAAUAGGUUGGGAUAUUAGGUUUUUUGGUGGAUUUUGGAAAGUCGAAGAGUUUCAGAUCUGAGGAUAUAGGAAUUCCUUCUAUUGUAUUUUCUUGUUGAUUUUCACUAGACUUGCUUUGCUUAUCAGUGAUUAGUUUCGAUGAUGUUUGGCGUUGUAAUCUUAGAUGGGAAUGAUAGGAAACACGGCUUACAAGGGAAAAUGGUAUGCCCCAUUGAUUGAUAAUCCAAACUACAAAGGCAUUUGGAAGACACAUCAGAUUCCAAAUCCUGAUUACUCUGAACUUGAGAAACCUGACUUCCCCUGGGUGUCUUCUCUGAUGCGGCGGUCUCAACACAUCAGGAUCUAUGCUCUACAAAUGGUGGGAUCGGUUCAGGCAUUUUGGUGGAGGGUUGGUUGAUGGCAGGUUGCCGAGACAUGGCCAGCUUAUGCCAUUGCCAUUGAGAUUUGUACAAGGCAAGAUGGGAUCCUGCUCGACAAUAUUUUGAUAGCAACUAGUGAGAAGGUUGCUGAAUCAUACAGUGAGAUGACCCUAAGUUUGAAGUUGAGAAAGAAAAGCAGAGAGGAAGUAGUAGGGGUUGCUUCAGAUGGGCUUACAGGCAUCUAGUCUUCAGAAGGUAUUUGAUGUCCUCUACCGGAUAGUAGACAUCCCUUCUUGGAAGCUUACAAGAUCAAGAUAAUUCUUGAAGAGAUGGAUUUGCUUAGUGUUCUUCAAAUGAUUCCUUCAUGUUUUCAACUAGCGAUGACAUAACAUUGGUCUGUUGGGCUCCACUGUGGAUGGACCAUUUCAUAAUAUCUCCCAAGAUUUUGACUAAAAGGCUUUAUCAGCAUGCCUCGGCUGUCUUCUUGUGUCAAUUACAGCAAGAAGUGUGUUCGCUUGGUAGUGUUCUUUCGUGUCAUAUUGUAAGAUUCAAGCUUUUCUGGUAAGACCAACAUCUCAAAUUUUUUAUUUUUUUAUUAUUUAUGCAAUCUUAUCUUUUAUUGAAAUAUGUUUGUAGAAUCAUUGAUCCAUUAAUUGUACAACUAACAUGUUUUUUGUAUCAAAUCCAUUUUGAAUUUUAUUGUCCCUCUAGUGAAGAUGGUUUGGAUUUUUGGGGCGGCUCAUGCAGGUGAAAUACCUUUGAAUCAUGAAAGCAACUCACAAGACUCUAGAUUUUUACUUUGGCAUGUGAAAUCAUUUCUUUUAUGGACAUGAUAUGUACUAACUUAAAACCUUUUUGCAGUCAUCAGGAUAUUUGUGUUGGGAGUGGGACCUGUACCAUUUUAGUUCUGUCUUUCUUCAAUAAAGCAGUGGUGUGUCUAUAUUGAACUGAAACUUGAAUUUAAUGUCUGAAACAUGCUAGACUGGGCUCUUAGUCAAUUAGUGAGUUUUGGACUCUGUUUAGUAUCUUCGUUUCAGCAUUUCGCUAAGCAUGCACACCAUCCUUAUGUAUCUUAUUCCAUGUUGAUAUUUACAUUCAAGUUGACGUUCUUUUUAGAGUGAUGCAGAGAAGCUGUAUAAACAUCUUGCGCAUUUAAAAUCAAGACCUAUGCAAAAAUUUCAACGUAAUGGUUUCCUGGGACUUUUUGGACAAAAGGUUGAUGUUGUAGAUCACACUAAGAAGAGGUUACAAGAUUUGGAAGAGAAUGUUAGAAUGCAACAAUCAGUUGUUUCAUUGA
Molecule: long non-coding RNA, 1801 nt
Organism: Magnolia sinica
Lineage: Eukaryota; Viridiplantae; Streptophyta; Magnoliopsida; Magnoliales; Magnoliaceae
Exons: 6
Source: RefSeq, a predicted model, not a curated record